UGUUUCGGUGCGGGCGGAGAAAUCUGUACCAAAUCGAGACAAACUCAGAAUACCAGAUGUACACACUGCCAGUGAGACGGUGGGGGAUAAGCUUCAUCGUCAAGAGGGAAACAGCCCAGACCACCAGCUAAGGCCCCUAAAUAGUCGCUCAGUGGCAAAGGAGGUGGGAGUGCAUUGACAACCAGGAGGUUUGCCUAGAAGCAGCCACCCUUGAAAGAGUGCGUAAUAGCUCACUGGUCAAGCGCUCCUGCGCCGAAAAUGAAUGGGACUAAGCGACAUGCCGAAGCUGUGGGAUUACGAGAGUAAUCGGUAGGGGAGCGUUCCGCCCACGAGAGAAGCACUAGCGGCAAGCAGGUGUGGACGUAGCGGAAGUGAGAAUGUCGGCUUGAGUAGCGCAAACAUUGGUGAGAAUCCAAUGCCCCGAAACCCCAAGGGUUCCUCCGGAAGGCUCGUCCGCGGAGGGUAAGUCAGGACCUAAGGCGAGGCCGAAAGGCGUAGUCGAUGGAAGACGGGUGAAAAUUCCCGUACUGAUUUUGGUUGGUGCAGAGGGACGGAGAAGGCUAAUAUCGGCCGGAAGUUGGUUACCGGUUCAAGCGAGCGAGGUGUAGAGGUGUGGCGAAACCACGCCGAGCUAAGCCGCGAGUACGAGAGUCUACGGACUCGAAGCGAUGAGGGUCAGGCUUCCAAGAAAAGCUCUAAACACCAUAAACCAAGAUUACCUGUACCCGAAACCGACACAGGUGGGGAGGUAGAGUAUACCCAGGGGCGCGAGAUAACUCUCUCUAAGGAACUCGGCAACAUGGCCCCGUAACUC
RNAcentral lists this ribosomal RNA (814 nucleotides) under Oscillatoria lutea UTEX B 1814. RNAcentral describes it as "bacterial LSU rRNA". It matches the Rfam family "Bacterial large subunit ribosomal RNA", at positions 911 to 1736 of the family's 2925-position model. Lineage: Bacteria; Bacillati; Cyanobacteriota; Cyanophyceae; Oscillatoriales; Oscillatoriaceae. The record is from RNAcentral.